AUAAUUUAUAAUCAAAAGCGUAAACAUAGGAAGCAUAUUCAAGAUUUUCCUUUUCCUUUUAGUGGAAGUGAUUAAGCCUGGUGUUUAUAAAGAUGAAAAAAUCAGAGACCGAUAUCACCUAGAAUUAGAACCGGUUUAAUAUGUAUUCUUGAAAAAAAUUUUCUUUGAGAUUCAGGAAGGUAUAAAGGGCGGGGGGGUCACAUAUUGCACUUGAUUCCAAAGGGAAGAUAAAGAGGAACAAAAUAAAAAGUAAGCCUUGUUUUAUCUUAGAGGGCUCAAAUAAGCAAAUUCUAUUCUGAUGAUUAGAAACAAAUCAAACCAAAGGCAAAACAAUUCCUGGUUUUAAACCAAAGACAAAGCAACCCCUGGGUUUCAAGCACAUUUACAUAUUUAUGUCCGCAUGGAAUGAAUGCAGUAGAAAGUGAACACAACUUCUCCGUAAAGGUUGGUUUACUGUGGGUCCGUGUUCUCUUUGUGUUUCUAGUUCCAUUGCUCUGCAUAGUGCUGGGCACAUACGUUAACACUGUCCAAUGAUGUUGUUUGAAUUAAAUCAUUGAACAAGAGCAAAGACCCUGAUUCUGGAUAUUAGACAAAGUAAAAGAUUCAAAUACUUGAAAGCUUCAGGACUCUCUGUCUGAAGGACCAUCUCAACUUGUAAGAAAACUUUGUGUAAUUUUAUGCCAGGGUAGGCAACUACAGAGGGAAUGAAAGAAGUUCUUCAGUGUAAGGUGGUUCCACCUUCUGCUAAGAUGUGACCGCCAAAAAAACUCAAAAUAUUUUGAGGAGAUGCUAUCUGCCAAAGGGAUUACCACAAUACAUGUAGGAUCAAAGAAAAUUCCACAUUUUACCCUGGUGAUUAGCUGUAAUUAAAUAAAGUAAGUCUUUUUAAACUUCAUUAACAGCAAGACGUUUGCUACAGCAGAGUGGGCACAAAUCAUCCAUUCUUAAUUAAAAGAUAAUCCACAGGAUGGCCAUAAUCUUCUUCUAAAAAUACACCAUUUCCCCCUGAAAGAUUUUCUCAUCAAAUAAGGAUAAAUAACAGUUUCUAUGAGUUUAAGCCAUGAAGGAAUGGAAGCUCCUCCCGUUUGCUUGAGUGAGUGCUGAAUGUGGCUGAUAACAUCACUUUGGCAUGCUAUUAUCUAAAAUGGUAGAAUACCUCACUUCAGCAAAGUCUGACAUAAAUCUUUGAAAACAAAGACAUUGCAUAUGUAUGAGCUGAAAUAGAUAUGACAGUGUUGGCACAUUAAUAUUCCUGUCACUAGGGGGUUUCAAACUUUUAAGGAGAGAAUGGGAAUGAAUUCAGACUGUAGCUGGUGAAAUAGGGCAACAUAGAGUAGGACAAUUAGGCAUCGCAAACCGUAGUAAAAUAUGUACAGAGAAAGGGGUUCCCCUGCUCCCUGACUUUGGUAAAAAAUGACUGUGGGAUUAUCUCUGGGGAAUGCCAGGAAUAAUUAAUUUGGUUUAGAGAUUUGCAUGGUUGUUCUAAGCAUACUAAUAAGAAUGUUCCGUGAAGACCAGUCCCAAUCAAUAGACGAGAGAGCUGUGUCUUUCUUACGUAGCCACUGUGGUGGCUCAUGGGUAACAGAUGCUUCCACUUUAUUCCACAACAACCCUCAUUAAAAGUAACCACGAGGCCUAAUUGAAUAGUCCUCCUUCUCGUUGGAUUUGUGCAGAAAAUAGUCCUAUCAUUGUAUGUUCUACAGUCAUUUCUUUUCCCGUUCUUGCUUGCUGAUAUAAAGCGCUUUACCAUAGCCCUUUCGCUUAACUCCCCAGGAAGAAGUAAGCGGGUGAGAAAAUAAACUUCUUUUUACUCCCUCUGGCUCCGUAGGGCCUUACUAUGUGUUGGGAAGUAUCUACUUCGAAAUGCCAACUAUUUUUAGAAAAGCCUGAUAAAUCAUCACAUUCUCGAACAUCACCACUUACCGGGGAAGAGGACCUUCGAUUUCCCUCCGUCUGGGGCUUUUUGGACACGUUGCUGUAGCCCUGGGAGGCUUGGUCUGAGCCCUGAACAGCAGUUGCCCAGAUGCAGAAAAAAGGCUUCAAAACCUCUCCUUUGACAAAGAGACAUGAAAUAAUAUCUGACAAAGGCAUCACAAGCAAACAUGAUGGCAAAUCAGCAAUUAUACGGGCUACAAAGGAGAGCGCAUCUCACUUCCAAAUGUCUUUUUUUCUUCUUCUUCAAAUUUUACUAAUAACAUCUCGUAGAGGUGCUUAGCAGUGAUUGAAAAGCCACCUAUAUCCUCUUGCUAAGUUUCCGUUGAGAAGAAUGAGCAAAGAGAGCUGUGCAGCCUCGUAACCAUGGAAGAAAUUGUCUGUAUAAUGUUCACAACUUUGGCAAGGAGCAUGAUACCAUCAACAGCAAUGGAGAAAGUUAACUCUUCUGUGAAGUUAAGGAGAAAAUCUUCAAAACCUUUUAAAUGGAAGGAGCUGAAACUAAAAUGGCUACAGUAGACUGGAAGAGAGAAAGAGGCAGUGGCAAAAACAGACUCAAGAGAUGUAAUAAAGAGGAUCAAGUAUGCCUGAGAGAAUAAGGAAGGAUGACAAGCAGGGGCCACAGAUGGAUUCAAGAAGAUCAUGGUGAUGCAAGCGUGGCUAUGUGGCGUGAGGUGAAUGUGGUUUUCACUUGAAAGAGAGUUGAUUCAUCGUGAUUAGACAAUGGUGAAUGAGACUGAGGAGCUGUCUCUGCUUCCUGACUUCUCACUUGACCAGGGAGGAUGUGAAUGGUGGCAAAAAGGAAAGAGAUCCUGAUAUUUUGAUACCGACAUCCCUCCGCUCCAGUUCCCAUCCUGGCUUAUUUCAUCAGUGAACUGGUUUGCAGAUCCAUGGUCUAGAGGCUGGCUGCUUCCACUCCCUUGGUGCUUUCAUCCUUCUCUCCCACCAUCUCAUGACGAUCCCCCAGGGGUGCCCUGUUAGGAACUGGGUUGUCAUCCUCAAAUUGGCAUGGCUGCAUUCAAUAGCAUUGCUUCUGGUGAUGUGUUUGUUAGCGGGCUGUUUGCUAAUAAUACCUGAUGAAGUAUCACCACCAUUAAGCUUCUUGAAAAUGAGCGUGAUGUGCUGUGGAAACUCUGGGAUUAGGGUACAUAGUAAUGAUGAAGUUUGGUUCCAGACCAGCUGUUUGUGACAAAGGGCUAGGGAGUUGAGACAGUCCUGAGCUACACUCUGUGCAGAAAGAGAAGAUGCAAAGAAAUCAUCUCUCCGAUGCAGAUUUCUUUCUGAUCUCAGUGACAGUUUACCCCAAGGGACUCAGAGGCUGGAAAUUUUUUUGUAAUGAGCAUUUUGCUUGUCUCACAACUCCAGAAUAAAGUUAGCACCUUAACUAAGGGGUAGAGUUUAUCAAAAAGGUUAAAAUCAGCGUAAAGUGAUAAAUUAGAGAAAGUUGCUUCCAAUUUUCUGCAGUUUAUAACUCUAAAAAGCUUAAGAUUAGUGGCUUUCUAAACAAAACAAAAAAGAGGAAUGAAUCAGAAUUUCUUGGGAAGGUUGUUAAUAACUCAAAUUCUAGGUGUUUCCCCUAGAGAUUCUGAUUCAGUGGGCUCCAUACAGUGUCUACAACACUGUGUUUUAGCAUAUAACCCAGUCGGUUCUGACUCAGGUGGUCUUAAGAAAACUCCUUGUGAGGCAAUGACACAGACUUCCCAGAGACCUAGAAUUUAAUCUUUAUUUUUUCUUUCUCCUCCUUUCUGUUCUCUUCCUCCUCCCCCUC
Mustela erminea (ermine) is the source of this 3700-nucleotide long non-coding RNA. RefSeq lists it as uncharacterized. Lineage: Eukaryota; Metazoa; Chordata; Mammalia; Carnivora; Mustelidae. The transcript is spliced from 7 exons. The record is from RefSeq and is a predicted model, not a curated record.